Molecule: ribosomal RNA, 495 nt
Filed under: uncultured bacterium
Lineage: Bacteria
Description: partial 16S ribosomal RNA
Rfam family: Bacterial small subunit ribosomal RNA
Source: RNAcentral
GACGAACGCUGGCGGCGUGCCUAAUACAUGCAAGUAGAACGCUGAAGGAGGAGCUUGCUUCUCUGGAUGAGUUGCGAACGGGUGAGUAACGCGUAGGUAACCUGCCUGGUAGCGGGGGAUAACUAUUGGAAACGAUAGCUAAUACCGCAUAAUAGUAGAUGUCGCAUGACAUUUGCUUAAAAGUUUCAAUUGCAUCACUACCAGAUGGACCUUCUUUGUAUUAGCUAGUUGGUGAGGUAACGGCUCACCAAGGCAACGAUGCAUAGCCGACCUGAGAGGGGGAUCGGCCAGACUGGGACUGAGACACGGCCCAGACUCCUACGGGAGGCAGCAGUAGGGAUUCUUCGGCAAGGGACGGAAGUCUGACCGAGCAACGCGGCGUGAGUGAAGAAGGGUGUCGGAUCGUAAAGCUCUGUUGUGAGAGAAGAACGAGUGUGAGCGUGGAAAGUUCACACUGUGACGGUAUCUUACCAGAAAGGGACGGCUAACUACGUG